Molecule: ribosomal RNA, 253 nt
Filed under: uncultured bacterium
Lineage: Bacteria
Description: partial 16S ribosomal RNA
Rfam family: Bacterial small subunit ribosomal RNA
Source: RNAcentral
UACGUAGGGGGCAAGCGUUGUCCGGAUUUAUUGGGCGUAAAGAGCGUGUAGGCGGCCUGGUAGGUCAGCUGUGAAAACUCGAGGCUCAACCUCGAGACGCCGGUUGAAACCAUCUGGCUAGAGUCCGGAAGAGGAGAAUGGAAUUCCCGGUGUAGCGGUGAAAUGCGCAGAUAUCGGGAAGAACACCCGUGGCGAAGGCGGUUCGCUGGGACGGUACUGACGCUGAGACGCGAAAGCGUGGGGAGCGAACAGG